GGAAUUUCUUAUUAACAAGUGCUUACAAAGUGUGAAUUGUAUAUCAUUGUCAUCUUGCAACUAAGAACAACAUCGACCUCCUCAUUAUUUCCUUGUUUGUACAUGAAAUUAACUACAAUUUGGCCCACCAACUAAUCUUUUAUUUUGCUGAUCCACUUUCUCUUCUAUAUACUAUUCACAUUUCUCUUCCUUGAAACGAUGAUUAUUGCACCAAUCAGUUCCAAGAAAUGAACCCAAAUUGUCUUGCCUCUCGCGAAGAAACUGAAACUACUCCAUCGUAUACAAGAAUCUGUGCCCACCCUACUUGUAUAUAAUCUCCACUUCGCAAUACUUAUUGCAGAUUCAUCACUUCAACAAUAAAGAAAGAAAUAGUAUAUAUAUAGAAAGGAACAAGAUAAAAGUAUAUGGCUGAAAAAGACAAGUUUCAGAGAAUUUGCAAAAAGAUGUAUGCCCAAAAUUUCCUAGGACAUUCUUGGGUUGGGGUAGCU
RNAcentral lists this unclassified non-coding RNA (488 nucleotides) under Hevea brasiliensis (rubber tree). The record is from RNAcentral. Lineage: Eukaryota; Viridiplantae; Streptophyta; Magnoliopsida; Malpighiales; Euphorbiaceae.